AUCGAACAAGGCAGAAGGAGGGGGAAACCCUAAACUCAAGAAAUCAAGCAAUUGAAGCCUAAAAUCAUAAGAAAAUCCAGUGCAUGAGCCCUCUUAUCGAUCAUCUAAGCAUACCUAGUGAAGUGCUUGAAAGAAUAAGAACCAUGUCAAGAUGGACUCAAAUAUGGAAGGCUAACGGAUCAAGAGGAAAUGAGGAAGAUAUGCACAAACUUGGACGCACGAGGUAAGUGAUUUCUAUAAUCACUUCUUUAGUUGUUUAAGUAAUAUGAUGUUUUAAUUGUUAAGUUCAUACGAAGUUGAGGUCAAAUCAAUAGAUUAUUUUGAUAAAUGCACGAAUGGGUCGAAUAAUUCAUAGAUGAAUAACAAGCCGAAUAUGUAUAAGUUAAGAAAUUCCUUAACUCGGAUGUUUGACUUCAAGAUCACAUGAUAGGAUAUUAAAUUACAAUCAUAUAGGAAGAAACGUGACGCAAAACGGAUGAAAAAUGAGAGAGUUAUGUCCGUUUCGGUAAGGAUUAAUGGCUAGGAAAAGUGCAGAGUCGACACGGCCGGGUGGUGAAAUGACACGGCCGGGUGAAGGUUCUGUCAAAAAUAUUAUUUAUGUGAUUUAUGCGCCGUAGGCUUCGGUAUAUUAUCCGUGAACUACGACGGGCCUCCCAAACAUGAUUUCGAGUGUUUCCUUGACGAUUAUAAGUUGUAAACCCAAGUCAAAGCCUCAUGUAAUUUAUAUAAGAGUGUGAUAGAUGUAUGUAAUGAAGUUGGACAUGUAUUACAUGUAAAUGUAUACAAAAAUACGUACGGAAUAUGUAGGUAUGAAUACAUGAUUGUAGGUAUGAUUAAAUGUAUAUUAGGUAUGUAGAUGUGUAUGAUUGUAAGUUUGUAUGUGUGCAAGUAUGUGCGAAUGCAUGAUUUGGAUGCAUUUGAGAAUUAGCGUUACUAAUAAUGCCCUUGGGUUUGGAAUAUAAGUUAAUUGGAAGCAUUUAAAUGGUUGACGUCCUUUUUAUGAAGAUGUAGUAAAUGAAUAUGUUGAGAUUACGGGUUUGGCUAACCAAGUUAUUAUUGAGUAUGUUUGAAAGUGCAGGUUAUGAAUGUCGGACUUUCGAAGUGUUGAUAUAAUAAUGAAACGGUUGAAUGUUGAAAGGAUAAUCGGAUUGAAGUAACUUAUGCGGUUAGAAUAUGCUGUGGACGUUUUAGUUUAUACAACAUUUUAUGUUUGGUCGUCAUCAUCUACCAACGGGUAAAUCCUCAAUUCAGGCGACUUGGAGAAUCGGAGCGAGCGCGUGUUCAUGUUAUGUCAUACCAAACGCUUCCGCUAGCUUGUUCAAAUGUUUUUAGUCCAAAUUUGUUGUAUUGAUUCUUAGUAGUAUUUUGUCGAAUGAAUCGUAGAAUUGUAUCUAGUUUGAUUAUGUUUAAAAU
Molecule: long non-coding RNA, 1413 nt
Organism: Helianthus annuus (common sunflower)
Lineage: Eukaryota; Viridiplantae; Streptophyta; Magnoliopsida; Asterales; Asteraceae
Exons: 3
Source: RefSeq, a predicted model, not a curated record